GAGGAGAAGCCCUACGAAUUGAAUUUCGUGGGCGGUGAAGCCAAUUCACGACGCCAAUGGCUUCUGCUGCUCGUAGGAGUGGAGGAGGCCUCCGUUAAGGUCAUUACAGAGUUAUUAUGUGCCGGAACUUCGUUUAUGUCACUUUCAUUAUCGCCGGCGCUUUUGUUGGCGAGCGGUCGAUAGUUGAUACCUCCACUUUGGACCAUGCUUCUUUGUCAAUUUGGUUCUCCUGAUGCAGACCGUUGAUUAUGGCGUACCAAGCUCUGGGAAUACCACAAUGUUGAGAAACGGUAUGAGGAUAUUUCAGUGUUGAGGCAAAGAUGAUCAAAAGAAUGAUGUUCGUUUUAUGACAAAGAAUCGUGUGAGAUCCCACGUUUGUUGGAGAUGAGAAUGAAUCAUUCCUUAUAAGUGUGUGGAAAUCUCUCCCUAGUAGACGCGUUUUAAAAUCGUGAGAGGAAGCCUAGA
Molecule: long non-coding RNA, 465 nt
Organism: Cucurbita moschata (crookneck pumpkin)
Lineage: Eukaryota; Viridiplantae; Streptophyta; Magnoliopsida; Cucurbitales; Cucurbitaceae
Exons: 3
Source: RefSeq, a predicted model, not a curated record